Molecule: ribosomal RNA, 253 nt
Filed under: uncultured bacterium
Lineage: Bacteria
Description: partial 16S ribosomal RNA
Rfam family: Bacterial small subunit ribosomal RNA
Source: RNAcentral
UACGGGGGGGGCAAGCGUUGUUCGGAAUUACUGGGCGUAAAGGGCUCGUAGGUGGCCAACUAAGUCGGACGUGAAAUCCCUCGGCUUAACCGGGGAACUGCGUCCGAUACUGGUUGGCUUGAGUUUGGGAGAGGGAUGCGGAAUUCCAGGUGUAGCGGUGAAAUGCGUAGAUAUCGGAAGGAACACCGGUGGCGAAAGCGGCGCGCUGGACCUCUUCUGACGCUGAGGCGCGAAAGCCAGGGGAGCGAACGGG